GGUUAAGCGACUAAGCGUACACGGUGGAUGCCCUGGCAGUCAGAGGCGAUGAAGGGCGUGCUAAUCUGCGAUAAGCGCCGGUAAGGUGAUAUGAACCGUUAUAACCGGCGAUACCCGAAUGGGGAAACCCAGUGUGAUUCGUCACACUAUCAUUAACUGAAUCCAUAGGUUAAUGAGGCGAACCGGGGGAACUGAAACAUCUAAGUACCCCGAGGAAAAGAAAUCAACCGAGAUUCCCCCAGUAGCGGCGAGCGAACGGGGAGGAGCCCAGAGCCUGAAUCAGCAUGUGUGUUAGUGGAAGCGUCUGGAAAGGCGCGCGAUACAGGGUGACAGCCCCGUACACAAAAGCGCAUGUGCUGUGAGCUCGAUGAGUAGGGCGGGACACGUGGUAUCCUGUCUGAAUAUGGGGGGACCAUCCUCCAAGGCUAAAUACUCCUGACUGACCGAUAGUGAACCAGUACCGUGAGGGAAAGGCGAAAAGAACCCCGGCGAGGGGAGUGAAAAAGAACCUGAAACCGUGUACGUACAAGCAGUGGGAGCCCCACCACCAAAGCAUUCUCUGGUGUUGAAGGCCCUGCAAAGCAGCAUCGCGGUGGCGGAGCGUCGUUUGCGACGCCCAACACACAAAACAAGCGGUGAAUGCUUUGGGGUGGGGUGACUGCGUACCUUUUGUAUAAUGGGUCAGCGACUUAUAUUCUGUAGCAAGGUUAACCGAAUAGGGGAGCCGGAGGGAAACCGAGUCUUAAUUGGGCGUUAAGUUGCAGGGUAUAGACCCGAAACCCGGUGAUCUAGCCAUGGGCAGGUUGAAGGUUGGGUAACACUAACUGGAGGACCGAACCGACUAAUGUUGAAAAAUUAGCGGAUGACCUGUGGCUGGGGGUGAAAGGCCAAUCAAACCGGGAGAUAGCUGGUUCUCCCCGAAAGCUAUUUAGGUAGCGCCUCGUGAAUUCAUCUCCGGGGGUAGAGCACUGUUUCGGCUAGGGGGCCAUCCCGGCUUACCAACCCGAUGCAAACUGCGAAUACCGGAGAAUGUUAUCACGGGAGACACACGGCGGGUGCUAACGUCCGUCGUGAAGAGGGAAACAACCCAGACCGCCAGCUAAGGUCCCAAAGUCAUGGUUAAGUGGGAAACGAUGUGGGAAGGCCCAGACAGCCAGGAUGUUGGCUUAGAAGCAGCCAUCAUUUAAAGAAAGCGUAAUAGCUCACUGGUCGAGUCGGCCUGCGCGGAAGAUGUAACGGGGCUAAACCAUGCACCGAAGCUGCGGCAGCGACGCUGAUGCGUUGUUGGGUAGGGGAGCGUUCUGUAAGCCUGCGAAGGUGACCUGUGAGGGUUGCUGGAGGUAUCAGAAGUGCGAAUGCUGACAUAAGUAACGAUAAAGCGGGUGAAAAGCCCGCUCGCCGGAAGACCAAGGGUUCCUGUCCAACGUUAAUCGGGGCAGGGUGAGUCGACCCCUAAGGCGAGGCCGAAAGGCGUAGUCGAUGGGAAACGGGUUAAUAUUCCCGUACUUGGUGUUACUGCGAAGGGGGGACGGAGAAGGCUAUGUUGGCCGGGCGACGGUUGUCCCGGUUUAAGCGUGUAGGUGUGUGUUCCAGGUAAAUCCGGUUCACUUUAACACUGAGGCGUGAUGACGAGGCACUACGGUGCUGAAGCAACAAAUGCCCUGCUUCCAGGAAAAGCCUCUAAGCAUCAGGUAACAUCAAAUCGUACCCCAAACCGACACAGGUGGUCAGGUAGAGAAUACCAAGGCGCUUGAGAGAACUCGGGUGAAGGAACUAGGCAAAAUGGUGCCGUAACUUCGGGAGAAGGCACGCUGACACGUAGGUGAAGUGAUUUACUCACGGAGCUGAAGUCAGUCGAAGAUACCAGCUGGCUGCAACUGUUUAUUAAAAACACAGCACUGUGCAAACACGAAAGUGGACGUAUACGGUGUGACGCCUGCCCGGUGCCGGAAGGUUAAUUGAUGGGGUCAGCGCAAGCGAAGCUCCUGAUCGAAGCCCCGGUAAACGGCGGCCGUAACUAUAACGGUCCUAAGGUAGCGAAAUUCCUUGUCGGGUAAGUUCCGACCUGCACGAAUGGCGUAAUGAUGGCCAGGCUGUCUCCACCCGAGACUCAGUGAAAUUGAACUCGCUGUGAAGAUGCAGUGUACCCGCGGCAAGACGGAAAGACCCCGUGAACCUUUACUAUAGCUUGACACUGAACAUUGAGCCUUGAUGUGUAGGAUAGGUGGGAGGCUUUGAAGUGUGGACGCCAGUCUGCAUGGAGCCGACCUUGAAAUACCACCCUUUAAUGUUUGAUGUUCUAACGUGGACCCGUGAUCCGGGUUGCGGACAGUGUCUGGUGGGUAGUUUGACUGGGGCGGUCUCCUCCUAAAGAGUAACGGAGGAGCACGAAGGUUGGCUAAUCCUGGUCGGACAUCAGGAGGUUAGUGCAAUGGCAUAAGCCAGCUUGACUGCGAGCGUGACGGCGCGAGCAGGUGCGAAAGCAGGUCAUAGUGAUCCGGUGGUUCUGAAUGGAAGGGCCAUCGCUCAACGGAUAAAAGGUACUCCGGGGAUAACAGGCUGAUACCGCCCAAGAGUUCAUAUCGACGGCGGUGUUUGGCACCUCGAUGUCGGCUCAUCACAUCCUGGGGCUGAAGUAGGUCCCAAGGGUAUGGCUGUUCGCCAUUUAAAGUGGUACGCGAGCUGGGUUUAGAACGUCGUGAGACAGUUCGGUCCCUAUCUGCCGUGGGCGCUGGAGAACUGAGGGGGGCUGCUCCUAGUACGAGAGGACCGGAGUGGACGCAUCACUGGUGUUCGGGUUGUCAUGCCAAUGGCACUGCCCGGUAGCUAAAUGCGGAAGAGAUAAGUGCUGAAAGCAUCUAAGCACGAAACUUGCCCCGAGAUGAGUUCUCCCUGAGACUUUAGGUCUCCUGAAGGAACGUUGAAGACGACGACGUUGAUAGGCCGGGUGUGUAAGCGCAGCGAUGCGUUGAGCUAACCGGUACUAAUGAACCGUGAGGCUUAACCUU
This 3008-nucleotide ribosomal RNA is filed under the name Salmonella enterica subsp. enterica. RNAcentral describes it as "23S ribosomal RNA". It matches the Rfam family "Bacterial large subunit ribosomal RNA". The record is from RNAcentral. Lineage: Bacteria; Pseudomonadati; Pseudomonadota; Gammaproteobacteria; Enterobacterales; Enterobacteriaceae. RNAcentral also lists the same sequence under 1 other name.